GUAGGUGGCAAGCGUUGUCCGGAAUUAUUGGGCGUAAAGCGCGCGCAGGCGGUCCUUUAAGUCUGAUGUGAAAGCCCACGGCUCAACCGUGGAGGGUCAUUGGAAACUGGGGGACUUGAGUACAGAAGAGGAAAGCGGAAUUCCAAGUGUAGCGGUGAAAUGCGUAGAGAUUUGGAGGAGCACCAGUGGCGAAGGCGGCUUUCUGGUCUGUAACUGACGCUGAGGCGCGAAAGCGUGGGGAGCAAACAGGGAUUAGAUACCCUGGUAGUCCACGCCGUAAACGAUGAGUGCUAAGUGUUAGGGGGUUUCCGCCCCCUUAGUGCUGCAGCUAACGCAUUAAGCACUCCGCCUGGGGAUACGGCCGCAAGGCUG
Molecule: ribosomal RNA, 372 nt
Filed under: uncultured organism
Description: partial 16S ribosomal RNA
Rfam family: Bacterial small subunit ribosomal RNA
Source: RNAcentral